ACCCGCUGAACUUAAGCAUAUCAAUAAGCGGAGGAAAAGAAACCAACAGGGAUUGCCCUAGUAACGGCGAGUGAAGCGGCAACAGCUCAAAUUUGAAAUCUGGCUCUUUUAGAGUCCGAGUUGUAAUUUGCAGAGGGCGCUUUGGCCUUGGCAGCGGUCCAAGUUCCUUGGAACAGGACGUCACAGAGGGUGAGAAUCCCGUACGUGGUCGCUGGCUAUUGCCGUGUAAAGCCCCUUCGACGAGUCGAGUUGUUUGGGAAUGCAGCUCUAAAUGGGAGGUACAUUUCUUCUAAAGCUAAAUAUUGGCCAGAGACCGAUAGCGCACAAGUAGAGUGAUCGAAAGAUGAAAAGCACUUUGGAAAGAGAGUCAAACAGCACGUGAAAUUGUUAAAAGGGAAGCGCUUGCAGCCAGACUUGCUUACAGUUGCUCAUCCGGGCUUUUGCCCGGUGCACUCUUCUGUAGGCAGGCCAGCAUCAGUUUGGGCGGUAGGAUAAAGGUCUCUGUCACGUACCUCCUUUCGGGGAGGCCUUAUAGGGGAGACGACAUACUACCAGCCUGGACUGAGGUCCGCGCAUCUGCUAGGAUGCUGGCGUAAUGGCUGU
This 603-nucleotide ribosomal RNA is filed under the name uncultured fungus. RNAcentral describes it as "eukaryotic LSU rRNA". It matches the Rfam family "Eukaryotic large subunit ribosomal RNA", at positions 23 to 641 of the family's 3401-position model. Lineage: Eukaryota; Fungi. The record is from RNAcentral.